GGAGACGUGCCCGAGUGGUCCAAGGGAACAGUUUGCAAAACUGUAAAGCCGCCGGUUCAAAUCCGGCCGUCUCCUCCA
This 78-nucleotide transfer RNA is filed under the name Bacteriovoracaceae bacterium. Its description in RNAcentral is "tRNA-Cys". It matches the Rfam family "tRNA". Rfam says of the family: Transfer RNA (tRNA) molecules are approximately 80 nucleotides in length. Their secondary structure includes four short double-helical elements and three loops (D, anti-codon, and T loops). Lineage: Bacteria; Pseudomonadati; Bdellovibrionota; Bacteriovoracia; Bacteriovoracales; Bacteriovoracaceae. The record is from RNAcentral.